This 1432-nucleotide ribosomal RNA is filed under the name uncultured bacterium. Its description in RNAcentral is "bacterial SSU rRNA". It matches the Rfam family "Bacterial small subunit ribosomal RNA". The record is from RNAcentral.
GAUGAACGCUGGCGGCGUGCUUAACACAUGCAAGUCGAACGGACGUAAGGAGCUUGCUCCUUGCGUUAGUGGCGGACGGGUGAGUAACACGUGAGCAAUCUGCCCAUGUCAGGGGGAUAACAGUUAGAAACGACUGCUAAUACCGCAUAUGACCACAGAGAGGCAUCUCUCAGAGGUAAAAGAUUUUAUCGGACAUGGAUGAGCUCGCGUCCCAUUAGGCAGUUGGCGGGGUAACGGCCCACCAAACCUACGAUGGGUAGCCGGCCUUAGAGGGUGAUCGGCCACAUUGGAACUGAGAUACGGUCCAAACUCCUACGGGAGGCAGCAGUGGGGAAUAUUGGGCAAUGGAGGCAACUCUGACCCAGCAACGCCGCGUGAGUGAUGAAGGUCUUCGGAUUGUAAAACUCUUUAAGUAGGGACGAAGAAAGUGACGGUACCUACAGAAUAAGCCUCGGCUAACUACGUGCCAGCAGCCGCGGUAAUACGUAGGAGGCAAGCGUUAUCCGGAAUGACUGGGCGUAAAGGGUGCGUAGGCGGGUAUGCAAGUUGGGAGUGAAAUACAUGGGCUCAAYCCAUGAACUGCUCUCAAAACUGUGUAUCUUGAGUAGUGGAGAGGUAGGCGGAAUUCCCGGUGUAGCGGUGGAAUGCGUAGAUAUCGGGAGGAACACCAGUGGCGAAGGCGGCCUACUGGGCACCAACUGACGCUGAGGCUCGAAAGUGUGGGUAGCAAACAGGAUUAGAUACCCUGGUAGUCCACACCGUAAACGAUGAUUACUAGGUGUUGGAGGAUAGACCCCUUCAGUGCCGCAGUUAACACAAUAAGUAAUCCACCUGGGGAGUACGACCGCAAGGUUGAAACUCAAAGGAAUUGACGGGGGCCCGCACAAGCAGUGGAGUAUGUGGUUUAAUUCGAAGCAACGCGAAGAACCUUACCAGGUCUUGACAUCCGAUGCAUAGCAUAGAGAUAUGUGAAGUCCUUCGGGACAUCGAGACAGGUGGUGCAUGGUUGUCGUCAGCUCGUGUCGUGAGAUGUUGGGUUAAGUCCCGCAACGAGCGCAACCCUUAUGUUUAGUUGCUACGCAAGAGCACUCUAGACAGACUGCCGUUGACAAAACGGAGGAAGGUGGGGAUGACGUCAAAUCAUCAUGCCCCUUAUGACCUGGGCUACAAACGUACUACAAUGGCCAUUAACAAAGGGAAGCAACCCGGCGACGGGAAGCAAAACUCUAAAAAUGGUCCCAGUUCAGAUUGCAGGCUGCAACUCGCCUGCAUGAAGGCGGAAUUGCUAGUAAUCGCGGAUCAGCAUGCCGCGGUGAAUACGUUCCCGGGCCUUGUACACACCGCCCGUCACACCAUGAGAGUUGGCAACACCCGAAGUCAGCAGGCUAACGCAAGAAGCCGCUGCCGAAGGUGGGGUUGACGAUUGGGGUGA